Molecule: long non-coding RNA, 225 nt
Filed under: Musa acuminata (dwarf banana)
Lineage: Eukaryota; Viridiplantae; Streptophyta; Magnoliopsida; Zingiberales; Musaceae
Description: long non-coding RNA (MACU_LNC009314)
Source: RNAcentral
UUCGAGCUCUGCCAGGCGGUGCAACCGCCCCAGUCAGGAGGUGCAACCGCCUGAUCCCGGAAUUCCGAGAAUUGACAGUUUUGAGCUCCAAAUUUGAACUGUGUUGGGGCCUAUAAAUACCCCACCCAUUCAGCACUGAAAGGAAGCAACUUACACUCGAAAUCUUGAUAUCUUUCUGUGAUUCUUAGAGCUCAAAACUGUUGUAAAGGCCAAAAGUUCUCCUCC